RNAcentral lists this non-coding RNA (23 nucleotides) under Cricetulus griseus (Chinese hamster). Lineage: Eukaryota; Metazoa; Chordata; Mammalia; Rodentia; Cricetidae. RNAcentral also lists the same sequence under 1 other name. The record is from RNAcentral.
ACAACCAGUUACAGAUUUCUUUG